Molecule: long non-coding RNA, 1653 nt
Organism: Seriola aureovittata
Lineage: Eukaryota; Metazoa; Chordata; Actinopteri; Carangiformes; Carangidae
Exons: 3
Source: RefSeq, a predicted model, not a curated record
GAAAACCAUCACAUACAUCGCAGGAAGAAAAUAGAUAAAGUAAAUGAGCUCGAGAAAAUAUGAUAAAGUAUCACGUUAUUUCUCACGAGAUAAAUUAACCUGUCCUCACGCGACCUUUUUUAUGUCGAGGUAACUUAAUAAUUGCAAGUACGGCCAUUCUAGGCUUCCGUAGGAUACUUCAUUAAAUGCAGGCUUUAAAAAGUAAAAUCUUACUGACCCAGUUCUUUGUAAACGCGACUGCAGCUAAGGUAGUUAAACGAUGCCUUGUGAAAUAUCACUCAGUUAAAGACCAUCGCCACACAGUUUUCUCCAUAAUAAUUUCAGCACGUAGACGUGACAGCAGCUGUAGGACGGGAAAAACACAGGCGGUGCCCCUUUUAGAGGAAAUGAAAGUGAAAGUGGCUGCAGCCUCUCGUGCCCUCUAGUCUCAUGCCCGGGUGUACAACAUGCUUUUUGAGCAGCCACACCUCCACCUCAGCGCACAUCAGAGCAGCCUCAGAUGUGUCCAGAUUCAGUGAGCCACUCAGGAUUCCUGCAGCAGAUCACAUCCAUCAGCUCCUUACCAGAUCAUCUUCAGAUUUCCACCACCACCACUCUAGACUUCUUUGCUUUCUUAUUGCCAAAGACUUUUAUUUUAUCACUAAUAAAAGCUAAAAUCAUGUCAAUAAUAGUUAUAUUAUAAUUAAUAUUAUAAUUGGAAGUUGUCUAGAUGAAGCUUAGAAGAGCAUGCUUACUCAGCUAAACCCUCCAACCUAAAAAAAACAUACUGUAUGUUUGCAGGUUUAACCAGGUCGGUUGUGUGUCAUUCAGCAGCCUGCAACUAAUCAGGUAUAAUAACAGCCCACAACAAGGCGCAGUUAUCGUUAUGGCCACUUUUGCGGAAUCAGCAAAAAUAACGGACACUCAGAUCUUAUUUCUGGAGUCCCAUGUAGAGAGAAUGGGAGCUGUUGAGCCGCUGUUUGCGUAGAGACAUGAGGGGCAGGUUGGUAACUUGAUGUAAUGAAAUAGAAACAUGACUGGGUGUCAUUAAAAGCGAAUGCAACUGUUGAUGGUGUGACAGCAAACGGUAUCUAUAGGCUGUUAAUCUGUAAAUGAAGGAUGUUUCCCUGCUAAAACUGGAGUCACACAAAAACAAACACAGUAUCUGUGCAAAACAGAACUCAUGAUUUAACUAUCCUAAAACCAGGAAACAGGUGUAAUGUGUCUAUAAAUAAGUGUAAUGUGCACUUAAAGAACAGAUCACUAUGUACACUAUAAUUAUUUUUUGUGUCCUGGCUGUAGCAAGGAUUUAAGAAAUACUGAGGCCUCAGUAUUCAGAAUGGGGAUGGGGGUUUUUGCCUCUGUUUGGUUAAAAAUGACUAACCAGCACUCUUCCGGUUAUACUAUGUCGUCAGACUUACUCAAAUAUAAACACACUCAUCAUAAAAGUGUUCGGUGUGGAAGUGUUUCUAAAAAUGAAGACGUAUACUACAAACUCCGUCAUUAGCCGGAUCACAGCUCGUCCCUACCUCAUGUUCCUGGCAGUACUGUAUUUGUCUUGGAUGUGCCAGAAUAAACAUGAAGGCAGCUGUUGAUAUCAGCCAAUGUGUAUUCAAAAGACGUAAACUAACCUCAUCUAAGUGAAACAAUCCAAGAGAUUUCCCGCCACAUCCA